UAAGCGGAGGAAAAGAAACUAACAAGGAUUCCCCUAGUAGCGGCGAGCGAAGCGGGAAGAGCUCAAAUUUGUAAUCUGGCAGCAAUGCCCGAGUUGUAAUCUAUAGAGUCGUUUUCGGUGCCGGACCGCGUCCAAGUCCCUUGGAACAGGGUAUCAAAGAGGGUGAGAAUCCCGUGCUUGACGCGACGACCGGGGCUGUGUGAUACGUCUUCUACGAGUCGAGUUGUUUGGGAAUGCAGCUCUAAACGGGUGGUAAAUUCCAUCUAAAGCUAAAUAUUGGCGAGAGACCGAUAGCGAACAAGUACCGUGAGGGAAAGAUGAAAAGCACUUUGGAAAGAGAGUUAAACAGUACGUGAAAUUGUUGAAAGGGAAACGAUUGAAGUCAGUCGUGUUCAUUGGUUUCAGCGGGUUCUGCCCGUGUAUUACCUUUGAACGGGUCAACAUCGGUUAGAUUGGGUGCAGAAAGGCGUUGGGAAGGUAGCACCCUCGGGUGUGUUAUAGCCCGGCGUCAUAUACACUCGACCUGACCGAGGCUUGCGGUGUGCCUCUUUUGAGGGGUCUCUUUGGACCCCCACACCUGGGAUGUUGGCAAAAUGGCUUUAAACGACCCGUCUUGAAACACG
This 623-nucleotide ribosomal RNA is filed under the name Bulleribasidium variabile. Its description in RNAcentral is "eukaryotic LSU rRNA". It matches the Rfam family "Eukaryotic large subunit ribosomal RNA", at positions 47 to 663 of the family's 3401-position model. The record is from RNAcentral. Lineage: Eukaryota; Fungi; Basidiomycota; Tremellomycetes; Tremellales; Bulleribasidiaceae.